RNAcentral lists this ribosomal RNA (366 nucleotides) under uncultured Pseudomonas sp. RNAcentral describes it as "bacterial SSU rRNA". It matches the Rfam family "Bacterial small subunit ribosomal RNA", at positions 1014 to 1382 of the family's 1533-position model. The record is from RNAcentral. Lineage: Bacteria; Pseudomonadati; Pseudomonadota; Gammaproteobacteria; Pseudomonadales; Pseudomonadaceae.
UACUUCUUCGGACAAUAUACAAGGUGCUGCAUGGUUGUCGUCAGCUCGUGCCGUGAGGUGUUGGGUUAAGUCCGUACGAGCGCAACCCUGUCCUUAGUUACCAGCACGUUAUGGUGGGCGACUCUAAGGAGGACUGCCGGUGACAACCGGAGGAAGGUGGGGAUGACGUCAAGUCAUCAUGGCCCUUACGGCCUGGGCUACACACGUGCUACAAUGGUUGGUACAAAGGGUUGCCAAGCCGCGAGGUGGAGCUAAUCCCAUAAAACCGAUCGUAGUCCGGAUCGCAGUCUGCAACUCGACUGCGUGAAGUCGGAAUCGCUAGUAAUCGUGAAUCAGAAUGUCACGGUGAAUACGUUCCCGGGCCUU